Molecule: long non-coding RNA, 3161 nt
Organism: Micropterus dolomieu (smallmouth bass)
Lineage: Eukaryota; Metazoa; Chordata; Actinopteri; Centrarchiformes; Centrarchidae
Exons: 2
Source: RefSeq, a predicted model, not a curated record
UCAGAGCUAGUUAUUUCUUAUGGGGUUGUUAUUUCUUAUGUUUUUGCAUUGCUGGCAGCGGGUGCACAAAAGCACAUGAGUCGCUGUCAUUCCGCGCAACGUUUGCGGACGGGAGGAAUCGAGUGAGUACUUGUUGCGAGCCAUACGGCGGCGGCAGCGUCCCGGAGCUGUCAAAUGUUGCGCACAGCCUUCAGUCUUCAGUCAGUGGAGUAACCAGACUAAUCCACCAGACAAACAACUCAGAAGAUUAACCUUUUUUAGCCUCGCUAAACUAUUUUUUGUCUCCACACCCGGAAGCCUGUUUUUAAAACAAUUAUCAAUUUGUCACAUGGCUUUGGAGAAUUCAAUAACAACAAAAAAUGGCGACAAUCACGUUGCUCAGUGUGGUCUUGCUGCGUCAUUAAAAAUAUUCAUGUAAACACGGGGAAUUAAACGGGGAAAUUGCAGACACUGAUGACAACAAACGGAGUACCUAUUCAGCCCUGACGAUGUGUUUGUCCUCUGCCCUGUUUAGUUAUUGCACAAGUUGCUUUGCUUUCUACGUCUGACAUGAACAUUUUUGGCCAGUGCCCUGUACAGUGGGGCUAAUGGAGUUGUUUACAUGAAGUGCGUAGGGCGGACUGACUAGGAGGAGGAGCCGCUACGUCGGCGAGCGACGCCACCGGACUGCUCGAGAGGCUGCUCGCGCCGAAGGGUGGGCGGAGCCCGCGAGGAGAAUCAUAACAAGUCUGACGUCACUCCCUCGGCCUUGUGGUUGGUUUUAAUAAUAUACCGAAGUUUGUCUCUACAAAGUCCUAGCAGAAAAGGGGGGGGGGGUAAAACUUUGCUAAUUUUUUAAAGAGAUAAAACAUUAACGAGCCCUCUGUUCAAAGGGCAGAAUAGAAACAAAGAAAUAAUUAUUCUGUGUCUGAAACCUUAAUAAUAAUGACAUACUUCCAUAUGGAAAGAAAUUGUGAAAUAGUGAUAAACGUGCAUCAUGACAAAAUACAUAAAUAAAUUAAAUAAACAACAUUAUCCUCCCAUUUCCAAGAAUUGUACACUGUUGUUUAUUAUCACAUAUUUAUAUCCAGUAGGUCAAAUUGCAUGUGCAGGUUUGUGCAUUAUUAACUGUCCAGCCUUAAGACACUGGUAGAAGUUUCAUUGUAUAAUGGACAACAUAGUCUGUCUUUUGCAUUGCAGAAUCAAUUUUUGUACCACUUUGGCUGUGCAAAUAGCAAGGCCUAGACAAAUUAAUAAAAUACAUCAGCAUUGUUUUGAUUUAACUGCAAAUAGGAGCUUACUCUGUAUAACUUCCUAAACAUACUGCUGAGCCACUUUCACCAAAUCUAGACUUUUCUGACCUGCAAGGAAAGCUGGAUUAUCAGGAUUGUAUGAGCUCGUUGCAGUAUAUAAGGACUGAUUUAUUGUUGUUCCCCUAAUCACACCAUCAAAUACAGUUUAUGUUUUGUAGCUUUUUUUGUAGCUUUUUUUUUAGGUUACAUGACUGUAUUAUGCUGUAGCUGAAUCUCUUUUUGGUAUUAUUAUGUUAUGGAUGUUACUUAAAAUUAUUCAUAUGGAAACCAAUGUUUUUGAGAAAACUUGCAUAUGUUUUGUAUGAGAUACCAGCUAAUGAGCUGCAAAAAUACAAAAGUAAAACUUUUUCUUUGCACCUGUUGACCUAGAGCAUGGAUAUAAUGGGUGGAUGACGAAUGGAGCGAAGCCCCGGACUGCUAGAUUUGACAGGCUGCCCUGGUUCAGUUAUCACAGUGCUGAUGCUGUCCCCAUCGAAGGUACAGUACUGUGAUAACUGAAGGAUGGCUGCCAACUUGACACGAUUGCAGUGAAUCAAAGCACGUUUGGCUAACGAGCCAGAAGACCAAAGAGAAGAAAGAAAUUAUUGUGUUAUGCUGAUUUUGAAAAGUUUAAUGGGGUAUCCAAAAGUUUGGAUUUUUAAAACAUUCAUCUCAAAUCCUUAACCUAAAAGUUAAUGUUAUCCUCACUUCUUAAUGUCUUUAAGAAAUAAAGGGAUUUUUUUUCUAUUUAAAUGUGACAUUCUCAUGCUUUUGAAAGUUUAGUGGAUCUUAAAUACAAAAUGUUGCAGCCAUGAAACAGUUAACUAUUGAGUGGCUGAAGUUUCAUCUGAUCUUUUUUAAGAUUAAAUUGAAUACUUUCUUAUAGCUUUCUUAAUACCAUUGGCAAUUAAGUUACAUUUACAUAUUAAAACUAAUGUACACAAUGCAAACUUGAAGAAAACUGCCCACCUGUGUUUCCAGUCUGAUUAAUGCUGAUGAACCUUGCAUUUCAACAUAGUUCGUAACACCUUUAUAAAUAUAACUUUUUCAACACUUUGUUCUUCAAAUUUUGCCUUAACAAAAUUUAAGGAAUUAGGGUCUACACUGGGCUGCAGGCUGAGGCAUAAGGUAGUCCUAACUGCUUGUUCCACAUUGUUGUCAACAGAGGGAGCUGAAGAUCUAUUAUUGAUGUGCUUUGGGGUCUACAGGGAACAGGGAAUAUAUCUGUCUCACUGUGUAAUAUGUUACCUUGAAACCUUAAUAAUGAAUAUGUUGAUGGUGAGGUUGUUAAAACAAAUUAAGUGUUAAUUUCUCAGACAUGUUAAAUGGAGCCCGAAGAUUUGGAUGAAUCCAGUUUUGAAAACACAACAAACAAGUUCUUGUUCCAUUUCUAGGUGAGAUUUUUUCCCCCUAACUUAACAGUUGAACAUGAUCCAAGACGCCUACAGUGUUGACGAUUCAAACCAAUGACAGUCUCCAUUUUGGUAUAAAUUGCCGUGUCGUUGUUAAAGUGAAUCUUAGAUAAUGUUCAGUAUGUAAUAUCAACAUAUCAGAUCAAAACAUGACUUGUCGUGUGAUUUAUGAUGUCAAUACUCUGAAAUGAAUCAUAUUUUUCAGAACAGUGUUUUGAAUAAUACAUGCUCUGUUUGAGUCAUGUCUGAUAAACCACAGGUCACUCUGCACCUGUCCUUAGAAUGUUUUAUUCAAAGGGUACAUACUGUAGCUACCGUGGAAAUCCCCUAAGAGUCAUGAUACAUGUUUUGUUUUUGUCUCACUCUAACCUCAAUUUGCUCAACUCGCCUUGAUUCACAUGUUUUUCUGACUCACCGUGUGAUAUCUUGAUACUUUGUGGUAAAGCAUAUUUCUUGAUAAUAAAGCAUGAAAAGUCAA